Long non-coding RNA from Rhipicephalus microplus (southern cattle tick), 321 nucleotides. The record is from RefSeq and is a predicted model, not a curated record. NCBI's taxonomy places the organism in Eukaryota, Metazoa, Arthropoda, Arachnida, Ixodida, Ixodidae.
GAAAACAAGAAAACAUCGACUCAACAGCCCGUGAUGGCCGUGCCCACUAAAAUGGGACCUGUCAGGUCCUCCCUUAAGCGAACCUCCAUCCCCACUCCUCCUCGGAAAGUGUCCUGCAUCCGCCACAGUAAACCAGCUGUGUAUACUACACCUAUAGGUCCAGAACAGAAUGCAUCUGGUGGAUUUUCACGCACUCAGAAAGGAAAUCUCAGAGAGUAUCCGCCCCAAGUGGGACGCUUUUGAGAACUGCGUCGCAGACGCAGCUGCCGGAGAGAUGUAGUCUGUGUUCGUCGCUGACCGAGGAAUGCCCUGUCGUUAUAG